GCACGCAGGAGGGAUAGUUCAGUUGGUAGAGCACGAGACUCUUAGUCUCAGGCUUGUGGGUUCGAAUCCCACAUUGGGCA
Molecule: non-coding RNA, 80 nt
Organism: Podarcis lilfordi (Lilford's wall lizard)
Lineage: Eukaryota; Metazoa; Chordata; Lepidosauria; Squamata; Lacertidae
Source: the annotation of a GenBank genome assembly